Molecule: long non-coding RNA, 422 nt
Organism: Hyaena hyaena (striped hyena)
Lineage: Eukaryota; Metazoa; Chordata; Mammalia; Carnivora; Hyaenidae
Exons: 3
Source: RefSeq, a predicted model, not a curated record
CUUCGUUUGAAGGCUCACUACAGAGAGCUAAUGAGAACUGAAAGACACAGUAUUGCUGCUGCCGCUGCUGGUAUUAUUUCUGCGAGAUGACGUCUGUGACAACUGUCCCGCUGCUACUGUCAUCACUAACCGAACACAUUAACUACGUUGAAUAAGGGCCACCCUCAUGUCGGGCACUGUGAUGGCGCUCCGUGUGGGUUACAGCCUGUAGUCCUCACAGCAAACCUUUGAGCCAGACUUUAGUGAGAGCCGUCAGGUGAUGUCUGCGGCUGCUGGCGUGAGAGGUGCUGUCGCCGGGCAGCAGGCCAGGGCCUGCCCUGCACGCAGGGGCACCUGACAGUGAGGGGCGCCAGUCCCGCCCUGCGACGCCGUCUGAAUCACCACCGGAGGCAUUCUGUCAUUCAUGAUUAACUGAAAGCAAA